This 253-nucleotide ribosomal RNA is filed under the name Agathobaculum desmolans. RNAcentral describes it as "partial 16S ribosomal RNA". It matches the Rfam family "Bacterial small subunit ribosomal RNA", at positions 524 to 776 of the family's 1533-position model. The record is from RNAcentral. Lineage: Bacteria; Bacillati; Bacillota; Clostridia; Eubacteriales; Butyricicoccaceae.
UACGUAGGGAGCAAGCGUUAUCCGGAUUUACUGGGUGUAAAGGGCGCGCAGGCGGGCCGGCAAGUUGGAAGUGAAAUCUAUGGGCUUAACCCAUAAACUGCUUUCAAAACUGUUGGUCUUGAGUGAUGGAGAGGCAGGCGGAAUUCCGUGUGUAGCGGUGAAAUGCGUAGAUAUACGGAGGAACACCAGUGGCGAAGGCGGCCUGCUGGACAUUAACUGACGCUGAGGCGCGAAAGCGUGGGGAGCAAACAGG